This 1614-nucleotide long non-coding RNA is filed under the name Cucumis sativus (cucumber). RNAcentral's name for it is "long non-coding RNA (CSAT_LNC003054)". The record is from RNAcentral. Lineage: Eukaryota; Viridiplantae; Streptophyta; Magnoliopsida; Cucurbitales; Cucurbitaceae.
UACUGGGUGGUCCGAUCUCGAAGUUUCUUGCCCACAAAAGCCGAACGGUGACGCCCCAGACUCGGUUUCUUGGUUCCGUCCCAAAACGCCAAAGAAAGGCACAAUGGCCUAGAAAGGGACGAUCGGACUUGGAACGGGGUCCGAGGCCUCGAAAGUCCACAUCUAGCUACUGGGUGGUCCGAUGUCGAAGUUUCUUGCCCACAAAAUCCGAACGGUGACGCCCCAGACUCGGUUUCUUGGUUCCAUCCAAAAACGCCGAAGAAAGGCACAAUGGCCUAGAAAGGGACGAACUGACUUGGAACGAGGUUCGAGGCCUCGAAAGUCGACAUCUAGCUACUGGGUGGUCCGAUCUCGAAGUUUCUUGCCCACAAAAACCGAACGGUAACGCCUAGACUCGGUUUCUUGGUUCCGUCCCAAAACGCCGAAGAAAUGCACAAUGGCCUAGGAAGGGACGACCGGACUUGGAACGGGUCCGAGGCCUCGAAAGUCCACAUCUAGCUACUGGGUGGUCCGGUCUCGAAGUUUCUUGCCCACAAAAGCCGAACGGUGACGUCCCAGACUCGGUUCCUUCGUUCCGUGCCAGAACGCUGAAGAAAGACACAGUGGCCUAGAAAGGGACGACCGAACUUGGAACGGGGUCCAAGGCGUCAAAAGUCCACAUCUAGCUACUGGGUGGUCCGAUCUCGAAGUUUCUUGCCCACAAAAGCCGAACGGUGACGCCCUAGACUCGGUUCCUUGGUUCCGUCCCAAAACGCCGAAGAAAGGCACAAUGGCCUAGAAAGGGACGAUCGGACUUGGAACGGGGUCCGAGGCCUCGAAAGUCCACAUCUAGCUACUGGGUGGUCCGAUGUCGAAGUUUCUUGCCCACAAAACCCGAACGGUGACGCCCCAGACUCGGUUUCUUGGUUCCGUCCCAAAACGCAGAAGAAAGGCACAAUGGCCUAGAAAGGGACGACCGGACUUGGAACGGGGUCCGAGGCCUCGAAAGUCCACAUCUAGCUACUGGGUGGUCCGAUCUCGAAGUUUCUUGCCCACAAAAGCCGAACGGUGACGCCCCAGACUGGGUUUCUUCGUUUCGUGCCAGAACGCUGAAGAAAGGCACAGUGGCCUAGAAAGGGACGACCGGACUUGGAACGGGUCCGAGGCGUCAAAAGUCCACAUCUAGCUUCUGGGUGGUCCGAUCUCGAAGUUUCUUGCCACAAAAGCCGAACGGUAACGCCCAGACUCGCUCUGGUUUCUUGGUUCCGUCCCAAAACGCCGAAGAAAGGCAUAAUUGCUAGAAAGGGACGACCGGACUUGGAACGGGGUCCGAGGCCUCGAAAGUCCACAUCUAGCUACUGGGUGGUCCGAUGUCGAAGUUUCUUGCCCACAAAAUCCGAACGGUGACGCUCCAGACUCGGUUUCUUGGUUCCGUCCCAGAACGCCGAAGAAAGGCACAAUGGCCAAGAAAGGGACGACCGGACUUGGAACGGGGUCCGAGGCCUUGAAAGUCCCCAUCUAGCUACUAGGUGGUCCGAUCUCGAAGUUUCUUGCCCACAAAAGCCGAACGGUGACGCCCAGACUCGGUUACUUGGUUCCGUCCCAAAACGCCGAAGAAAUGCACAAUGGCCUAGA